AGAGAGGCUGUGAGGGUGGCUUUGUGAGGAUGGCUUUGUGUGGCUGCACAUUGCCCUUGGCCAAGCACCGCUGCCAGGAGAGGCAGCUCGGCUGCCAAACCUCCUGAACCCAAGUUACCUGAGCAAGCAGCCCUAUCCCCUUGCCUGCUUCUCACUGCCUUGCCUGCCUUGGGCCUGCCUGAUCCAGGGGGUCACAUGCCUUGUUCCCCAUCGGUGGAGACCAGGGACAAGAAGACAGCUCUGUGGGAAGAGCCAGGAGGACCAUUUGGGAAAAUACAGGUUCCAGGUGUCUCUCCAGACCUCGAGAGGUGGUGUCUCCUGGGGAGAGGCCCUGAAGAGAUCUGGGGAGAUUCGGAUCUGAUGAGAUUCAGGGAGCCCUGGCCUCUCCAUACUUGAGGAGAUGGGACACACAGGACAGGCUGCAGGCUGGUGAGGAGGUUCACUUUCUAUUUUGAAGACCCGCUUCUUCCUCAGGUACCUGAUCUUGAAAAUGACCUCCCCUUUCAGGUCUUGCUUCCCCUCAACCCAGAUACCCACUCGCCCAAGGGUCUUCCAAGUUGGCUGAGUUAGAACCUGCAUUUUUUAACCACAAGGAAAAGAAGCCCAGAGCUACCAAGAAUAAUAUUUUAUUGACUUGGAAUGAGUUUUGGAAUCUGUAUUUUUAACAAGCUGCCCAGUGAAAACCAUUUCCUCCUCAUCGUGGCGCAGAUCCAGAGGCUGCGCCCAUCUCUCCCACGUCAACAGUCCUGUGUCCUUGGCGAAGGACGGUUCUCUCAUUCAGUGCCUUUCCUCUCUUCCUGGGCCAAAUCCCUGCUUUGCGUCUCCCUGCAGCUCAUAAAAAGCUGAAUUACCUGAGGCAGGGAAAGCCCCACCCACUGUCAUUCUCAGGGAGGAGUGGAGUCUGCAGAGGCUGCAAUGCACAGCUUCCCUUUCCCCCUCCACCCGUGUUUUCCCAGAGCAGCUCUGUUCCAGGCCCGGGGCUGUCCCUGGGCCGAGGCGGAAUCCAGCCCUGACCACCUCCCAAAGCCAACAGCCCUGAGUGAGCGUGCAGAGAAGCAAGAGCUGUUCCUGAUGCAGAGCAAAGACAUCUCCCAGUCAAGGGGGAUGAACUGAUUUGGGACAAAAGGCAGUUGUGGGCUGAGGAAGGCAGGAUCUGGGGGAGCCCUGUGCUGAGUGGAGGUGGGUGGCUGUAUUUCCUUGGCUCGCAGAGGCCUCUUGUCUGGUGGGAUCAGCUCCUCCAGCCAGUUGCCACCUGGUCCAGCUUUGGGAAAUGUGGAGAAUGACUUUCACAGUGAUUUCCACUGGGCCAUGGCAUUGAAACAGCUGCAGGAGGGGACACAGCUGGUGCCACCCCCACUCCAUCCAUUAGAGCUGCUGUGAAGGAAUGCCACCCUCCCCAUGGGGAGUGAGGGGGCCCUACUUGCUGUGGUUGGUUCCAGGGACCAUGGGAAGAGGCGAACCCCUAUUUUCAAGGGCACAAGUUGGCUUUUAUUAAAAUAAAAUGUCAUCAUCACUUAUUCCAGUGGCUCCCAAACUUGACUAAACAUCAGGAUCACCCAGGAUGUUUGUUAAAAAAUAAAGAUUAUG
Symphalangus syndactylus (siamang) is the source of this 1587-nucleotide long non-coding RNA. RefSeq lists it as uncharacterized. The record is from RefSeq and is a predicted model, not a curated record. Lineage: Eukaryota; Metazoa; Chordata; Mammalia; Primates; Hylobatidae.